GAUGAAGAACGUAGCGAAAUGCGAUACGUAAUGUGAAUUGCAAAUUCAGUGAAUCAUCGAGUCUUUGAACGCACAUUGCGCCCCCUGGUAUUCCGGGGGGCAUGCCUGUCCGAGCGUCAUUGCUGCCCUCAAGCACGGCUUGGGUGUUGGGCCCCGUCCUCCGAUCCCGGGGGCCGGGCCCGAAAGGCAGCGGCGGCACCGCGUCCGGUCCUCGAGCGUAUGGGGCUUUGUCACCCGCUCUGUAGGCCCGGCCGGCGCUUGCCGAUCAACCCAAAUUUUUAUCCAGGUUGACCUCGGAUCAGGUAGGAAUACCCGCUGAACUUAAGCAUAUCAAUAAGCGGAGGA
This 345-nucleotide unclassified non-coding RNA is filed under the name soil metagenome. Its description in RNAcentral is "partial contains 5.8S ribosomal RNA, internal transcribed spacer 2, and large subunit ribosomal RNA". The stretch from base 1 to 119 matches the Rfam family "5.8S ribosomal RNA", at positions 35 to 154 of the family's 154-position model. The record is from RNAcentral.